CGGAGGGUGCAAGCGUUAUCCGGAUUUACUGGGUUUAAAGGGUGCGCAGGCGGAUAUGUAAGUCAGUGGUGAAAUCUUUGGGCUUAACCCGAAAUUGCCAUUGAUACUAUAUAUCUUGAAUGCUGUGGAGGUAGGCGGAAUAUGUCAUGUAGCGGUGAAAUGCUUAGAUAUGACAUAGAACACCUAUUGCGAAGGCAGCUUACUACGCAGAGAUUGACGCUCAUGCACGAAAGCGUGGGAUCAAACAGGAUUAGAUACCCUGGUAGUCCACGCCCUAAACGAUGAUUACUCGACAUACGCGAUACACAGUGUGUGUCUGAGCGAAAGCAUUAAGUAAUCCACUGGGAAGUACGACCGCAAGGUUG
This 365-nucleotide ribosomal RNA is filed under the name uncultured organism. Its description in RNAcentral is "bacterial SSU rRNA". It matches the Rfam family "Bacterial small subunit ribosomal RNA", at positions 526 to 896 of the family's 1533-position model. The record is from RNAcentral.